UACGGAGGGUGCGAGCGUUGUCCGGAAUCACUGGGCGUAAAGGGCGCGUAGGUGGCGGAGCAAGUCAACGGUGAAAGCUCGACGCUCAACGUCGAGUCGGCCGUCGAGACUGCUUUGCUCGAGCACUGUAGAGGCAGAUGGAAUUCCGGGUGUAGCGGUGGAAUGCGUAGAGAUCCGGAAGAACGACCGGUGGCGAAGGCGGUCUGCUGGGCAGUUGCUGAC
RNAcentral lists this ribosomal RNA (222 nucleotides) under uncultured bacterium. Its description in RNAcentral is "partial 16S ribosomal RNA". It matches the Rfam family "Bacterial small subunit ribosomal RNA", at positions 524 to 744 of the family's 1533-position model. The record is from RNAcentral.